UGUGCUUAACCCACUGUGAGACUGCCCGACUCCCUUGUCUUCUCUUUUUAAAGGUUAUUCCUUUAUGCAUGCAUGCAUUCAUUUUCUUUUGUUAAGACAGACACAGAGAGAGUGUGAAAGAGACAUCACUAUUGAAACUUCUUCAAUGUGGUGGGGACUGGGCUCCAACCUGAGUUGUGCACACAUGGCAAAAUAGUUCACUUUCUUUCUUUUCUUUCUUUCUUUCUUUUUUUUUUUUUAAAGAUUUUAUUUAUUUAUGAGAAAGGUAGGAGGAGAGAGAAAGAACCAGACAUCACUCUGGCACAUGUGCUGCCGGGGAUCAAACUCGGGACCUCAUGCUUGAGAGUCCAAAGCUUUACCACUGUGCCACUUCCCGGACCACAAUAGUCCAUUUUCCUUUCUUUUCUUUUUUUAAUAUGUAUUUAUUUACUUUCCCUUUUUGUUGCCUUUGUUUUUUUAUUGUUGUAGUAGUUAUUGUUGUUAUUGAUGUCUUCGUUGUUAGAUAGGACAGAGAGAAAUGGAGAGAGGAGGGGAAGACAGAGAGGGGGAGAGAAAGAGAGACACCUGCAGACCUGCCACUUGUGAAGCCACUCCCCUGCAGGUGGGGAGCCGGGGGCUCGAACCGGGAUCCUUAACGCCAGUCCUUGCACUUUGCGCCACGUGCGCUUAACCCACUGUGCUACCGCCCGACUCCCAACAGUCCAUUUUCUAAGUGAAUCAUCUCACUGGCCCCAUUCAUUUUUUAAAAUAUAUUUAUUUAUUUUUCAUUUUUUGUUAUCCUUAUCAUUGUUAUGGUUAUUUUUAUUAUUGUUAUUGAUGUUGUUGCCAGAUAGGACAGAGAAAAUGGAGAGAGGAGGGGAAGACAGAGAGGGGGAGAGAAAGACACCUGCAGACCUGCUUCACUGCUUGUGAAGCGACUCCCCUACAGAUACAGAGUGAGAUACAGGGAAAGAAGAGAGAUCAAAGCAUUUGUCCACCAUUCAUGAAGCUUCCCCUUUGUAUGUGGUAUUGGAGGAUUUGAACCUGUCUUCAUAUAUGUUAAAGUAUGUGCUAUAAGAAGGAGGAGGAAGAGGAGAAGAAGAAGGAAGAAUUAACUAGUUAGAGGGUUAGGAGGCAGCUCGUCCAGUACUUUGCUAUGUGUAAGGAACCCUGGUGCAAGCUGCUUCAUGAGUGAUAUUAUAAAUAAGUAGAAAAUAAAAUAAAUAAUGGGCAGAGUCUGCUGGGAACAGUGGAAUCACAGAUAUAGAAAAAAAAUUAGGGAAGUGGGUGAUGAUAUAUUCUAGUUCAGGAAACAGCAUGCACAAAGAUUGUGUGAGAAAAAAUAGCAUAUUUAGGGAACUUUCCAUUAUGGCUAGAAAGCAGCAAUCAGUGGGAGAAAGUCUGGUUUUGAUGAAUUCUUUCCCCAAAUGCUCUCAUAUUUACCUUUUACCCAUCCUUCAUCUUGGCUCACAAAGAUUACAAUGAUGAAAAUGUUAUGUAUGUACAAACUAUUAAAACAUUAAUCCCCCAUAAAGAAAUUAAAAGAAGAUUACAGUGAUGAUACAA
Molecule: long non-coding RNA, 1545 nt
Organism: Erinaceus europaeus (western European hedgehog)
Lineage: Eukaryota; Metazoa; Chordata; Mammalia; Eulipotyphla; Erinaceidae
Exons: 3
Source: RefSeq, a predicted model, not a curated record